GACGAACCGUGCGAACGUUAUUCGGAAUCACUGGGCUUAAAGCGCGUGUAGGCGGAUGGGGACGUCGGUCGCUGAAAUCCCCCGGCUCAACCGGGGAACGGGCGCCGAAACGCCCCGUCUCGAGGGACGUAGGGGGACCUGGAACUUCCGGUGGAGCGGUGAAAUGCGUUGAGAUCGGAAGGAACACCUGUGGCGAAAGCGGCUCACUGGACCAUAACUGACGCUGAGGCGCGAAAGCUAGGGGAGCAAACAGG
This 254-nucleotide ribosomal RNA is filed under the name uncultured bacterium. Its description in RNAcentral is "partial 16S ribosomal RNA". It matches the Rfam family "Bacterial small subunit ribosomal RNA", at positions 524 to 776 of the family's 1533-position model. The record is from RNAcentral.